ACAACUUUUAACAACGGAUCUCUUGGCUCUCGCAUCGAUGAAGAACGCAGCGAAAUGCGAUAAGUAAUGUGAAUUGCAGAAUUCAGUGAAUCAUCGAAUCUUUGAACGCACCUUGUGCUCUCUGGUAUUCCGGGGAGCACAUCUGUUCGAGUGU
This 154-nucleotide ribosomal RNA is filed under the name Hydnum sp. 11 BF-2016. RNAcentral's name for it is "5.8S ribosomal RNA". It matches the Rfam family "5.8S ribosomal RNA". Rfam says of the family: 5.8S ribosomal RNA (5.8S rRNA) is a component of the large subunit of the eukaryotic ribosome. It is transcribed by RNA polymerase I as part of the 45S precursor that also contains 18S and 28S rRNA. Lineage: Eukaryota; Fungi; Basidiomycota; Agaricomycetes; Cantharellales; Hydnaceae. The record is from RNAcentral.